This is a long non-coding RNA of Pocillopora damicornis (cauliflower coral), 341 nucleotides long. The record is from RefSeq and is a predicted model, not a curated record. Lineage: Eukaryota; Metazoa; Cnidaria; Anthozoa; Scleractinia; Pocilloporidae.
AAGCAAAAUACUUGAAGGCUAUUGGUAUCUUCCAAAUUUCUUUCAAAUUUCUUGGAUUCUUCUCCAAAACAUUUUCACAAAAUUUCAUCAUUCCUAUAUUUCCCAUAAUACAUUACGGUAGUAUUGCAAGAUGGCGGCUCUUCUGAGGAACUCAUCCAGGCUUCCUUCAGUGUUAGUCAAAGGGUGCUAUCGACCUUCAUUUGCGCUAAUGCGAAGUAUUCCAAUCACUACUUCGUCCUUGGCUCGAAAGCAGGAAGACUUUUGGUCCAAAAACACUCGUCUGAACAGACCAAUGUCACCUCACUUAACAAUCUACAGUCCACAGUUGACUUCAAUGUUGU